RNAcentral lists this transfer RNA (71 nucleotides) under Capra hircus (goat). It matches the Rfam family "tRNA". Rfam says of the family: Transfer RNA (tRNA) molecules are approximately 80 nucleotides in length. Their secondary structure includes four short double-helical elements and three loops (D, anti-codon, and T loops). Further hydrogen bonds mediate the characteristic L-shaped molecular structure. tRNAs have two regions of fundamental functional importance: the anti-codon, which is responsible for specific mRNA codon recognition, and the 3' end, to which the tRNAs corresponding amino acid is attached (by aminoacyl-tRNA synthetases). tRNAs cope with the degeneracy of the genetic code in two manners: having more than one tRNA (with a specific anti-codon) for a particular amino acid; and 'wobble' base-pairing, i.e. permitting non-standard base-pairing at the 3rd anti-codon position. RNAcentral also lists the same sequence under 1 other name. The record is from Rfam by way of RNAcentral. Lineage: Eukaryota; Metazoa; Chordata; Mammalia; Artiodactyla; Bovidae.
UCCCUAGUGGUCCAGUGGUUAAGACUCUGCUGUUAAUGCAAGGAGCCCGGGUUCCAUCCCUGGUUAGGGAA